UACGGGAGGCAGCAGUGGGGAAUAUUGCACAAUGGGCGAAAGCCUGAUGCAGCUAUGCCGCGUGUAUGAAGAAGGCCUUAGGGUUGUAAAGUACUUUCAUCGGGGAGGAAAAACAAAACUAAUAAUUUUAUUUCUUGACGUUACCCGAAAAAGAAGCACCGGCUAACUCCGUGCCAGCAGCCGCGGUAAUACGGAGGGUGCUAGCGUUAAUCAGAAUUACUGGGCGUAAAGAGCACGUAGGUGGUUUUUUUAAGUCAGAUGUGAAUCCCUGGGCUUAACCUAGGAACUGCAUUUUGAAACUGAAAUACUAGAGUAUCGUAGAGGGAGGUAGAAUUCUAGGUGUAGCGGUGAAAUGCGUAGAUAUCUGGAGGAAUACCUGUGGCGAAAGCGGCCUCCUAAACGAAUACUGACACUGAGGUGCGAAAGCGUGGGGAGCAAACAGGGUUAGAUACC
Molecule: ribosomal RNA, 453 nt
Filed under: uncultured bacterium
Lineage: Bacteria
Description: bacterial SSU rRNA
Rfam family: Bacterial small subunit ribosomal RNA
Source: RNAcentral